This 63-nucleotide transfer RNA is filed under the name Haemopis sanguisuga. Its description in RNAcentral is "tRNA-Glu". Lineage: Eukaryota; Metazoa; Annelida; Clitellata; Hirudinida; Haemopidae. The record is from RNAcentral.
UUAUAUAUGGUGUGAAGCACGUUAGAUUUUCAUUUUAAAAGGGUAUAUUAUAUUCUAUAUCAG